Molecule: ribosomal RNA, 384 nt
Filed under: uncultured bacterium
Lineage: Bacteria
Description: bacterial SSU rRNA
Rfam family: Bacterial small subunit ribosomal RNA
Source: RNAcentral
GACGGAGGGUGCGAGCGUUAUUCGGAUUUAUUGGGCGUAAAGAGUGUGUAGGCGGUCGAUCAAGUCUGAUGUGAAAGCCCGGGGCUUAACCUCGGAAGGGCGUUGGAAACUGGUCGACUUGAGUUCGGGAGAGGAAAGCGGAAUUCCGGGUGUAGAGGUGAAAUUCGUAGAUAUCCGGAGGAACACCGGUGGCGAAGGCGGCUUUCUGGACCGAAACUGACGCUGAGACACGAAAGCGUGGGGAGCAAACAGGAUUAGAUACCCUGGUAGUCCACGCUGUAAACGAUGGGCACUAGGUGUGGGGGGUUUUUAAUCCCUCCGUGCCGCAGCUAACGCAUUAAGUGCCCCGCCUGGGGAGUACGGCCGCAAGGUUAAAACUCAAAG